RNAcentral lists this transfer RNA (87 nucleotides) under Candidatus Kaiserbacteria bacterium. RNAcentral's name for it is "tRNA-Ser". It matches the Rfam family "tRNA". Rfam says of the family: Transfer RNA (tRNA) molecules are approximately 80 nucleotides in length. Their secondary structure includes four short double-helical elements and three loops (D, anti-codon, and T loops). Lineage: Bacteria; Candidatus Kaiseribacteriota. The record is from RNAcentral.
GGAGAGAUGGCUGAGCGGUUUAAGGCGCACGCUUGGAAAGCGUGUAAGGGUUAACGCCCUUCGGGGGUUCGAAUCCCCCUCUCUCCG